This 77-nucleotide transfer RNA is filed under the name Patescibacteria group bacterium. RNAcentral's name for it is "tRNA-Met". It matches the Rfam family "tRNA". From Rfam's summary of the family: Transfer RNA (tRNA) molecules are approximately 80 nucleotides in length. Their secondary structure includes four short double-helical elements and three loops (D, anti-codon, and T loops). The record is from RNAcentral.
GCCGGGGUAGCUCAGUUGGUUAGAGCGUGGGACUCAUAAGCCCGAGGUCGUGGGUUCGAUUCCCACCUCCGGCACCA